Molecule: unclassified non-coding RNA, 216 nt
Filed under: Hevea brasiliensis (rubber tree)
Lineage: Eukaryota; Viridiplantae; Streptophyta; Magnoliopsida; Malpighiales; Euphorbiaceae
Source: RNAcentral
AAAUAUGGCACAAAUUAGCAGUAUAAAUCAAUGGUACCAUAACCAAUCUGAUGAAUAAGAUUCUAAUUUUGGAAAACAACAAAUAGCGGGAAACAAAAUAUCUAAUGCUGGAACACCUUGAUAACAAGUUUAUGGACCUCAAAGAGUACUCAACCAAUAACAGCUAUAAUGACUAUGCCAGUGUGAAAUCUUGCAAUCAUUUUCUUGAACAUGUUA